Molecule: ribosomal RNA, 2930 nt
Filed under: Bacillus thuringiensis
Lineage: Bacteria; Bacillati; Bacillota; Bacilli; Caryophanales; Bacillaceae
Description: bacterial LSU rRNA
Rfam family: Bacterial large subunit ribosomal RNA
Source: RNAcentral
UUUGGUUAAGUUAGAAAGGGCGCACGGUGGAUGCCUUGACACUAGGAGUCGAUGAAGGACGGGACUAACGCCGAUAUGCUUCGGGGAGCUGUAAGUAAGCUUUGAUCCGAAGAUUUCCGAAUGGGGAAACCCACCAUACGUAAUGGUAUGGUAUCCUUAUCUGAAUACAUAGGGUAAGGAAGACAGACCCAGGGAACUGAAACAUCUAAGUACCUGGAGGAAGAGAAAGCAAAUGCGAUUUCCUGAGUAGCGGCGAGCGAAACGGAACAUAGCCCAAACCAAGAGGCUUGCCUCUUGGGGUUGUAGGACAUUCUAUACGGAGUUACAAAGGAACGAGGUAGACGAAGCGAUCUGGAAAGGUCCGUCGUAGAGGGUAACAACCCCGUAGUCGAAACUUCGUUCUCUCUUGAAUGUAUCCUGAGUACGGCGGAACACGUGAAAUUCCGUCGGAAUCUGGGAGGACCAUCUCCCAAGGCUAAAUACUCCCUAGUGAUCGAUAGUGAACCAGUACCGUGAGGGAAAGGUGAAAAGCACCCCGGAAGGGGAGUGAAAGAGAUCCUGAAACCGUGUGCCUACAAAUAGUCAGAGCCCGUUAACGGGUGAUGGCGUGCCUUUUGUAGAAUGAACCGGCGAGUUACGAUCCCGUGCGAGGUUAAGCUGAAGAGGCGGAGCCGCAGCGAAAGCGAGUCUGAAUAGGGCGUUUAGUACGUGGUCGUAGACCCGAAACCAGGUGAUCUACCCAUGUCCAGGGUGAAGUUCAGGUAACACUGAAUGGAGGCCCGAACCCACGCACGUUGAAAAGUGCGGGGAUGAGGUGUGGGUAGCGGAGAAAUUCCAAUCGAACCUGGAGAUAGCUGGUUCUCCCCGAAAUAGCUUUAGGGCUAGCCUUAAGUGUAAGAGUCUUGGAGGUAGAGCACUGAUUGGACUAGGGGUCCUCAUCGGAUUACCGAAUUCAGUCAAACUCCGAAUGCCAAUGACUUAUCCUUAGGAGUCAGACUGCGAGUGAUAAGAUCCGUAGUCAAAAGGGAAACAGCCCAGACCGCCAGCUAAGGUCCCAAAGUGUGUAUUAAGUGGAAAAGGAUGUGGAGUUGCUUAGACAACUAGGAUGUUGGCUUAGAAGCAGCCACCAUUUAAAGAGUGCGUAAUAGCUCACUAGUCGAGUGACUCUGCGCCGAAAAUGUACCGGGGCUAAAUACACCACCGAAGCUGCGGAUUGAUACCGAAUGGUAUCAGUGGUAGGGGAGCGUUCUAAGGACAGUGAAGUCAGACCGGAAGGACUGGUGGAGUGCUUAGAAGUGAGAAUGCCGGUAUGAGUAGCGAAAGACGGGUGAGAAUCCCGUCCACCGAAUGCCUAAGGUUUCCUGAGGAAGGCUCGUCCGCUCAGGGUUAGUCAGGACCUAAGCCGAGGCCGACAGGCGUAGGCGAUGGACAACAGGUUGAUAUUCCUGUACCACCUCUUUAUCGUUUGAGCAAUGGAGGGACGCAGAAGGAUAGAAGAAGCGUGCGAUUGGUUGUGCACGUCCAAGCAGUUAGGCUGAUAAGUAGGCAAAUCCGCUUAUCGUGAAGGCUGAGCUGUGAUGGGGAAGCUCCUUAUGGAGCGAAGUCUUUGAUUCCCCGCUGCCAAGAAAAGCUUCUAGCGAGAUAAAAGGUGCCUGUACCGCAAACCGACACAGGUAGGCGAGGAGAGAAUCCUAAGGUGUGCGAGAGAACUCUGGUUAAGGAACUCGGCAAAAUGACCCCGUAACUUCGGGAGAAGGGGUGCUUUCUUAACGGAAAGCCGCAGUGAAUAGGCCCAAGCGACUGUUUAGCAAAAACACAGCUCUCUGCGAAGCCGUAAGGCGAAGUAUAGGGGGUGACACCUGCCCGGUGCUGGAAGGUUAAGGAGAGGGGUUAGCGUAAGCGAAGCUCUGAACUGAAGCCCCAGUAAACGGCGGCCGUAACUAUAACGGUCCUAAGGUAGCGAAAUUCCUUGUCGGGUAAGUUCCGACCCGCACGAAAGGUGUAACGAUUUGGGCACUGUCUCAACCAGAGACUCGGUGAAAUUAUAGUACCUGUGAAGAUGCAGGUUACCCGCGACAGGACGGAAAGACCCCGUGGAGCUUUACUGUAGCCUGAUAUUGAAUUUUGGUACAGUUUGUACAGGAUAGGCGGGAGCCAUUGAAACCGGAGCGCUAGCUUCGGUGGAGGCGCUGGUGGGAUACCGCCCUGACUGUAUUGAAAUUCUAACCUACGGGUCUUAUCGACCCGGGAGACAGUGUCAGGUGGGCAGUUUGACUGGGGCGGUCGCCUCCUAAAGUGUAACGGAGGCGCCCAAAGGUUCCCUCAGAAUGGUUGGAAAUCAUUCGUAGAGUGCAAAGGCAUAAGGGAGCUUGACUGCGAGACCUACAAGUCGAGCAGGGACGAAAGUCGGGCUUAGUGAUCCGGUGGUUCCGCAUGGAAGGGCCAUCGCUCAACGGAUAAAAGCUACCCCGGGGAUAACAGGCUUAUCUCCCCCAAGAGUCCACAUCGACGGGGAGGUUUGGCACCUCGAUGUCGGCUCAUCGCAUCCUGGGGCUGUAGUCGGUCCCAAGGGUUGGGCUGUUCGCCCAUUAAAGCGGUACGCGAGCUGGGUUCAGAACGUCGUGAGACAGUUCGGUCCCUAUCCGUCGUGGGCGUAGGAAAUUUGAGAGGAGCUGUCCUUAGUACGAGAGGACCGGGAUGGACGCACCGCUGGUGUACCAGUUGUUCUGCCAAGGGCAUAGCUGGGUAGCUAUGUGCGGAAGGGAUAAGUGCUGAAAGCAUCUAAGCAUGAAGCCCCCCUCAAGAUGAGAUUUCCCAUAGCGUAAGCUAGUAAGAUCCCUGAAAGAUGAUCAGGUUGAUAGGUUCGAGGUGGAAGCAUGGUGACAUGUGGAGCUGACGAAUACUAAUAGAUCGAGGACUUAACCAUAUAA